UUUUUUUUGGCGUUCUGUCUCUCUCCCCUCCUCAAUUGAGUCAAUUCCAUCCGAUUCUCAUCGACCUCAGUACUUCACUACUCAGCCGCUCAGGUUGUGGCUGUCUAACAAUUUUCUGGGAUUCUGAGAAUUGAGAAAAUUAGAGAAGGAGCUGUGAGCAAACUCAGAGUCUUAUCUCAGUCAUCUGAGUCUUUGAUCUUCAAGGAACCAGGUACCACAUCUUUUGAAGAAAACAUAACCACCCCAGUAUUCUGGUGUUUGUGACUUCGAGGAAACAUCCAAGCUUCAUUCCAGUCUGUCAGGUGGCCUUCAGGUGGUCUUAGGAUUGAUUGCAUGAGUUCAAUCCUUAAUGGGUACUGAGGAAGCCUACGAAGUUUCGUGAUCGCAGGUGAGCCAAGAAGAACACGCUGUUGAUUUGUGAUUAAAGGUGAGCUACACCGAGCAUUCUGCAAACUUGUGGCUGGAGGUGAAGUAAUUUAUUCCUUUGGCGCUGCAUAAAGAUUCCUCCAGAGCAGUUUCUUCACUUUGUGAACCCAAGAACUUUGCAGACUUGUAGUUGGUGUGAACUGGCAGCCCCAGGCGUUCACUUGACACUCGUUUUUGCCACCCAUAUGCAGGACGCACUGCGAUACAGGCAUAAAAAACAAGUGCAGUGCACCCUCUAGUUUGGACCUUACUUCCGCCACCCAUACGCAAGACGCACCGCAGUAUAGGCAUUGAAAGAAGGCUGAAAACACAGAGCCACAUAGCAAUAAGCAGAGGAAGGACUUUCUGCACUCAUGAACACAUCAACAAUGAUAAAGGAAAAGUACCAGUAAAGACCAUGGAGAAGUGACUAGCAGGAUACAUGAACUUGAUGCUCUCCUAUCGUUGGGUUGUAGUCUCCAGCUUUGUCUUCUUUAUAUAGGAGGCAGCAAAGGCUCUAGAGGCUGGAUAAAUGCUCGUUUGAAAUUUAAAUUUUCGGAGGCUCACGUGGAUAAGCUGUUGAACAGAGAUUUGCUCCUUGACUCCGAUAUUGAACUUAGACACCCCUUGCCACUUUGUUCUUAUCUCACUUUGAGAUGUUUGAAUCACAAUUUGAAUGCUUUCUUUUGUUUCUAUAGCUUUUCCCCGUUGAAGUUUGGUCAACCAUUCAUCUUGUUUGAAAUUGAGAAAGAGAUAUUUUGUAACAAAACAUUUGUUUAAUUGCUGUCAUUAUCCUCAUCUUUUUUUUUUUUUUUGAAUAAUAUUG
Molecule: long non-coding RNA, 1231 nt
Filed under: Rosa chinensis
Lineage: Eukaryota; Viridiplantae; Streptophyta; Magnoliopsida; Rosales; Rosaceae
Description: sRNA RchiOBHm_Chr4g0398101
Source: RNAcentral